RNAcentral lists this ribosomal RNA (224 nucleotides) under uncultured Lactobacillus sp. Its description in RNAcentral is "partial 16S ribosomal RNA". It matches the Rfam family "Bacterial small subunit ribosomal RNA", at positions 138 to 354 of the family's 1533-position model. The record is from RNAcentral. Lineage: Bacteria; Bacillati; Bacillota; Bacilli; Lactobacillales; Lactobacillaceae.
CGGGAGUAACACCUGGAAACAGAUGCUAAUACCGGAUAACAACAGAUGAUGCCUAUCAACUGUUUAAAAGAUGGUUCUGCUAUCACUCUUGGAUGGACCUGCGGUGCAUUAGCUAGUUGGUAGGGUAACGGCCUACCAAGGCGAUGAUGCAUAGCCGAGUUGAGAGACUGAUCGGCCACAUUGGGACUGAGACACGGCCCAAACUCCUACGGGAGGCAGCAGAG